AUUUUUUUUGGCGCAGGCAUAAAUUCUAUGUCCCCGUUUCACGGAAGUGCUCCCUGUAUAAUUGUUGCUCCUCAGAGUUGCCUGAUAUUGAAUUUUAUCGGAAACGCUGUCCCUUUCCCCUGUAUCAAAAUUUCUCGGGAAAAUGACGGAAAAUUCCGAACUAUGAGAAUUUUCAUGUUGUCAAAAUGAGGGGAUCAUUUUGGGUUGACGAAUCUAAUUCCCCAUCAACCUCCAGCUCGCAUCCUCGCAUUCAUCCUCAGCCUCCCUCUUCCCGCCGUCACAGUGGUAAUAAUGUGUUUCGACUGCUGGCACGAAGAGAGGUUUGCCCUCGAGCAAAGCAUGCCUGUAAAAAUUGGUGGGGCGAAUCUUUCGAUAAGCGUCUGGAUUCCUUUGCGCUCAGUGCCGAAUCAGGCGUAGAUGCCAGGCGCGCUCUUGUUUCAUGGGUGGAGGCAGAAUCUUUGCUGAAUUUAUCAGCCAAAUAUUGUCCGCUGUUGCCUCCUCCUAGAUCAACCAUAGCCGCAGCCUUCAGUUCUGAUGGCAAGGUCCUUGCUUCUACGCAUGGAGAUCAUACUGUAAAGAUUAUGGAUUGCCGAACUGGGAAAUGCUUAAGGGUCUUGAGCGGUCAUCGGAGGACGCCCUGGGUAGUUAGGUUUCAUCCUACUUGUCCAGAAAUACUAGCAAGUGGAAGUUUGGAUCAUGAAGUUCGUCUGUGGAAUGCAAAUGCUGCAGAGUGUAUAGGAUCUCGUGACUUCUACCGUCCGAUUGCAUCUAUUGCUUUUCAUGCUCAUGGGGAGCUUCUUGCCGUAGCUUCUGGUCACAAGCUAUACAUAUGGCAAUAUAACAAUAAAGGGGAGACAUCCUCUCCAGCUAUUGUGCUGAAGACACGUCGUUCACUUCGUGCUGUGCAUUUUCACCCACAUGGUGCUCCAUUUCUCUUAACAGCAGAGGUAAAUGACCUCGAUUCAUCUGAUUCCUCAAUGACACUUGCAACUUCUCCAGGGUACCUGUGCUAUCCUCCUCCCACUGUAUAUUUGGCAGAUGCUCAUCCUGAACGACGCCUUGGGUUUGGGGAUGAACUGCCUUUAAUGUCCUUGCCCUUUCUUAUGCGGCCUUCAUUUGCUAGGGAUGUUGGUAGAAUACCUCUGCAGCAAACUGAUGGAGAUGUUGGUUCUAGUCGUGUGCAACAAAGAUUUGAUCCUUCCACUUCUGUGCGCCUUCUGACAUAUUCAACUCCAUCAGGGCAGUAUGAACUUCUGCUAUCUCCCAUUGAACCUAAUAGCUCAUCUCCUGUGCCAGAAGAAGGCCAGACUGAUUCUUUCAUGGGUGAAAUUGAUAAUGAAGCUCCUCAAUUUGCAAUGGAUACUGCUGAGACAGCAGAAGUGCACACUGUAGAGAGAAAUACUUCCACCUUACCUUUUGGUGAUCAACUGUACUGGGAAAUUCCUUUUUUGCAUGGGUGGUUAGUUGGCCAGAGCCAAACAGCGCACCAUGCAAUGGGCUCACUUAAUGGUUUGACUCAUGAAAAUUUAAGAACAUUUGGUGAAACAGAAAAUCAUGCUUCAUCCCCUGUAAUGCCAAUUAGUAUUGGCCAAUCUAGAGGCAAUGGGAGAUCUGGUCUGCAUUAUCGAUCUUCGCGAUCCCAAACAUCUGCAACUGGGUCUGGUGGAAGCUCUGCUUUUGACAGCAUGGGACGUAAUGAAAAUGAUGCUCUGCCCGUUGCUAGCAGAGUCCAAUCUGAACUUGCUACCUCCCUGGCUGCAGCUGCUGCCGCAGAGUUACCUUGCACUGUCAAGUUAAGAAUUUGGCCUUAUGAUGUAAAAGAUCCCUUUGUCCCUCUUGAUGCUGAGCAAUGUCGCCUAACUAUAUCACAUGCUGUACUUUGCAGUGAAAUGGGCGCUCAUUUUUCACCUUGUGGGAGAUUUUUAGCUGCUUGUGUUGCAUGUGUGCUCCCUCAUGUGGAAGCUGAUCCUGGCUUACAAGGCCAGGUGCUUAAUGAAAAUGCAGGGGCUGCAACAUCCCCAACACGGCAUCCAAUUUCAGCCCACCAAGUUAUGUAUGAGCUUCGGAUAUAUUCCCUUGAGGAGGCAACGUUUGGCUUGGUGCUUGCAUCCCGGGCUAUAAGAGCUGCUCACUGUUUAACUUCGAUUCAGUUCUCUCCCACAUCAGAGCACUUACUGCUAGCCUAUGGCCGUCGUCACAGUUCGCUCCUUAAAAGUGUUGUCAUUGACAGGGAGACGACAGUACCGAUUUACACUAUUCUUGAGGUGUACCGAGUUUCUGAUAUGAAACUUGUUAGAGUUCUUCCUAGUGCAGAAGAUGAGGUCAAUGUUGCAUGCUUUCAUCCCUCAGUUGGAGGUGGGCUUGUGUAUGGGACUAAGGAAGGGAAGCUUAGGAUUUUCCAAUAUGAUAAUUCUCAUGGUACAAAUUAUACAUCCUCUUUUCUUGACGAGCGCAUGCUUGAGGAAGCAGUAGCAAACGUCCCAACAUAUGCUUUAGAAUGCUAAUAACUAGUGCUCAGGACUGAGGAGUCAGGAGCCAUGUGCAUUAUAUGAGAGGCUCUCGAUCUAUUUUACUUCCUCCAACUAGUUUCUUAGAUGGUUUCUUUAAACACCGCAUUCAGAGGCGUGGAUGAGUUGUUUCCAGCAACCUAGAUUUCUUGAGCAGUCAUUCGCUUGAUCAAUACACAAAAUUAUUAGUGUAUGAGGAUUUUUAAUUAUUAUUCAUCAUAUACCAUGUUAAGUUGUACUUUUGUGGUUAAAGUUGUAUCACCACGAGAGAAUUGUUUGUCAAGAAAUUACUCUUUUAUAUUAGUGUUUUUUUUUCCUU
Manihot esculenta (cassava) is the source of this 2826-nucleotide RNA transcript. RefSeq lists it as uncharacterized. The record is from RefSeq and is a predicted model, not a curated record. The transcript is spliced from 16 exons. NCBI's taxonomy places the organism in Eukaryota, Viridiplantae, Streptophyta, Magnoliopsida, Malpighiales, Euphorbiaceae.